UUGAAACAUUGGUUCUCAUCUGAUCACCAAAGUUAAGCAAGUUGAGCCUGGUCAGUACCUAGAGGGGUGACUGCUUGGGAAUCCCAGCUGGU
This is a non-coding RNA of Acanthosepion pharaonis, 92 nucleotides long. Lineage: Eukaryota; Metazoa; Mollusca; Cephalopoda; Sepiida; Sepiidae. The record is from the annotation of a GenBank genome assembly.